This 460-nucleotide ribosomal RNA is filed under the name uncultured bacterium. RNAcentral describes it as "partial 16S ribosomal RNA". It matches the Rfam family "Bacterial small subunit ribosomal RNA", at positions 338 to 795 of the family's 1533-position model. The record is from RNAcentral.
CCUACGGGGGGCAGCAGUGAGGAAUAUUGGUCAAUGGACGAGAGUCUGAACCAGCCAAGUAGCGUGAAGGAUGACUGCCCUAUGGGUUGUAAACUUCUUUUAUAAAGGAAUAAAACGAGGCACGUGUGCCUGUUUGCAUGUACUUUAUGAAUAAGGAUCGGCUAACUCCGUGCCAGCAGCCGCGGUAAUACGGAGGAUCCGAGCGUUAUCCGGAUUUAUUGGGUUUAAGGGGAGCGUAGAUGGGUUGUUAAGUCAGUUGUGAAAGUUUGCGGCUCAACCGUAAGAUUGCAAUUGAUACUGGCAGUCUUGAGUACAGUAGAGGUAAGCGGAAUUCGUGGUGUAGCGGUGAAAUGCUUAGAUAUCACGAAGAACCCCGAUUGCGAAGGCAGCUUACUAAACUGUGACUGACAUUGAUGCUCGAAAGUGUGGGUAUCAAACAGGAUUAGAUACCCUGGUAGUC